RNAcentral lists this unclassified non-coding RNA (399 nucleotides) under soil metagenome. RNAcentral's name for it is "partial contains 5.8S ribosomal RNA, internal transcribed spacer 2, and large subunit ribosomal RNA". The stretch from base 1 to 122 matches the Rfam family "5.8S ribosomal RNA", at positions 35 to 154 of the family's 154-position model. The record is from RNAcentral.
GAUGAAGAACGCAGCGAAAUGCGAUACUUGGUGUGAAUUGCAGAAUCCCGUGAACCAUCGAGUCUUUGAACGCAAGUUGCGCCUCAAGCCAUUAGGUUGAGGGCACGUCUGCCUGGGCGUCACAUAUCGUUGCCUGAUGCCAGUUUCCUCGUGAUGGGUGACUGUGCAGGGCGAAUGAUGGCUUCCCGUGAGCAUUGUUGCCUCAUGGUUGGUUGAAAAUUGAGUCCUUGGUAGGGAGCGCCGUGAUAGAUGGUGGUUGAGUGACGAACGAGACCCAAUCAUGUGAGACCCUACCGAAUUUGGCCUUCAUGACCCACAUGCGUCUUUGGAACGCUCAUGACGAGACCUCAGGUCAGGCGGGGCUACCCGCUGAGUUUAAGCAUAUCAAUAAGCGGAGGA